CAAACGUCGAUGAACGGGAGAGUAGUGAAGGUAAUGAGCAUUUCAGCGAGCCGGAAAAGGUGUGAGCCGGCAUGAUCAUCCUACAUGAAGCGCACCUGAUGAGACGACUAUUCCAAGCGAGAGUUACGAUUUCAUUCUCUUAGUAGAGUAGUCCGGCUGACAGCCGUUAAGUGGUCAACAAGCGGAACAGAUAGCCUAAUUCUAUCUGUUCACUUAGAGUGGUACCGCGGGAAUUGUAGUUCUCGUCUCUUUU
Molecule: non-coding RNA, 253 nt
Filed under: Paenibacillus sp.
Lineage: Bacteria; Bacillati; Bacillota; Bacilli; Caryophanales; Paenibacillaceae
Description: T-box sequence
Rfam family: T-box leader
About the family: Uncharged tRNA acts as the effector for transcription antitermination of genes in the T-box leader family.
Source: RNAcentral